Pseudophryne corroboree (corroboree frog) is the source of this 487-nucleotide long non-coding RNA. RefSeq lists it as uncharacterized. The transcript is spliced from 2 exons. The record is from RefSeq and is a predicted model, not a curated record. NCBI's taxonomy places the organism in Eukaryota, Metazoa, Chordata, Amphibia, Anura, Myobatrachidae.
CAGAGACUUGGCUGUCAGCACUGCACCACUGGAGGGUUCCUUAUGCUUGCGAACCAGUUAGAUUCUAUACACAUAUGAAUCUUCCCCAUAUUCGAAUAUCUGAAUGUCAGACUCAAGCUGAUGAUAUAUGAGGUAUGGUCCCCGCUGUAUCAAUCAAGUCCCAUUGAAAUAUUAAAACGUUGUUCAUACAUCUUUGAAUGACCUUUUAUGUGCUGACAAUAUGUUCUGAAAUGAAGAGAUUUUACCCCUGAUGAAGUCUUGGAACAAGACGAAACGCGUUGGGUUAUUUAUCUAUCUAUUAUCUGAUGUUACCUCCGAAUCUACAAUAAGGAGAAGGAGGAAAUCGUAGUGAUAUAUCUACGCUUUUUCCUCAUCACUACAAACUGAUUGUUCAAAUUGUGCGACAAAUGUAAAUGUAUCAACUCUGUAUACUUAUGAACAUUUGUGUCGGGUUUAUAUGUUGUUUUAAUAAAUUUUUAUGUUAGUA